CAGGUAGACUUCAGUCGAGCUACUUCUCCGGCAGAUGGGUUCCGGACGAGCUCCAGCAGCUGGGUCCUUGCGAUAGUCGAUUGCCUUCGAUGUUUGCCGAGCCUCCCCAGCGCUAUCCGAAGUCCAUCGCCGGCCGACCUCCUAUCAGGCUUCCCAUAAAAUCGGACUUCUCCGACGGACGAUCUUCGGAUGAGCUUCCACAUCAGAUAAAUCCCAGACGGACUUCUCUAGCGAUCGAACUUCCCC
RNAcentral lists this long non-coding RNA (246 nucleotides) under Elaeis guineensis (African oil palm). RNAcentral describes it as "long non-coding RNA (EGUI_LNC001874)". Lineage: Eukaryota; Viridiplantae; Streptophyta; Magnoliopsida; Arecales; Arecaceae. The record is from RNAcentral.